RNAcentral lists this transfer RNA (193 nucleotides) under Hypera punctata (clover leaf weevil). RNAcentral describes it as "partial transfer RNA". The record is from RNAcentral. Lineage: Eukaryota; Metazoa; Arthropoda; Insecta; Coleoptera; Curculionidae.
AAAAUUUAGUUAAUGAACUUGUAUAAGUAUAUACUUUGAAAGUAUAAAAAAGAAAUUAUAAUUUUCUAUUAACUUUAGUACUAAAUUUAAUUAGUUAAAUAGCGGAGCUAAGUAAAAAUAAUCUUAGCCCAAAAUAAAAUAUUAAUAAAUUUAAAGAUACCGGUAAAUAGCUCUUUCAAGCUAAAUAUAUUAA